RNAcentral lists this ribosomal RNA (855 nucleotides) under Setophoma terrestris. Its description in RNAcentral is "partial large subunit ribosomal RNA". It matches the Rfam family "Eukaryotic large subunit ribosomal RNA", at positions 66 to 941 of the family's 3401-position model. Lineage: Eukaryota; Fungi; Ascomycota; Dothideomycetes; Pleosporales; Phaeosphaeriaceae. The record is from RNAcentral.
CAACAGGGAUUGCCCUAGUAACGGCGAGUGAAGCGGCAACAGCUCAAAUUUGAAAUCUGGCUCUUUCAGAGUCCGAGUUGUAAUUUGCAGAGGGUGCUUUGGUGGUAGUUGCGGUCUAAGUUCUUUGGAACAGGACGUCACAGAGGGUGAGAAUCCCGUAUGUGGUCGCUACUUAUCACCGUGUAAAGCCCCUUCGACGAGUCGAGUUGUUUGGGAAUGCAGCUCUAAAUGGGAGGUAAAUUUCUUCUAAAGCUAAAUACUGGCCAGAGACCGAUAGCGCACAAGUAGAGUGAUCGAAAGAUGAAAAGCACUUUGGAAAGAGAGUCAAAUAGCACGUGAAAUUGUUGAAAGGGAAGCGCUUGCAGCCAGACUUGCCUGUAGUUGCUUACCUAGACUUUUGUCUGGGGUACUCUUCUGCAGGCAGGCCAGCAUCAGUUUGGGCGGUUGGAUAAAGGUCUCUGUCACGUACCUCCUUUCGGGGAGGCCUUAUAGGGGAGACGUCAUACAACCAGCCUGGACUGAGGUCCGCGCAUCUGCUAGGAUGCUGGCGUAAUGGCUGUAAGCGGCCCGUCUUGAAACACGGACCAAGGAGUCUAACAUCUAUGCGAGUGUUUGGGUGUCAAGCCCAUACGCGUAAUGAAAGUGAACGGAGGUGGGAACCUUAGGGUGCACCAUCGACCGAUCCUGAUGUCUUCGGAUGGAUUUGAGUAAGAGCAUGGCUGUUGGGACCCGAAAGAUGGUGAACUAUGCUUGAAUAGGGUGAAGCCAGAGGAAACUCUGGUGGAGGCUCGCAGCGGUUCUGACGUGCAAAUCGAUCGUCAAAUUUGGGCAUAGGGGCGAAAGACUAAUCGAACU